AUAUAUAAACGACAAGAUACGACGCUCUAAACUACAGUGAUAAUAU
This 46-nucleotide non-coding RNA is filed under the name Trypanosoma brucei brucei. Lineage: Eukaryota; Euglenozoa; Kinetoplastea; Trypanosomatida; Trypanosomatidae. The record is from RNAcentral.